GAUAAUCGAUUAUGUUAAGGCAGCUGCAAGACAAUCGAUUGCGUACCUUAUGAUAAUCGAUUGUGUUGAGGCAGCGUCCAUCAGAUUUUUCAAAGCUGCAAGACAAUCGAUUGUGUACCUUAUGAUAAUCGAUUGUGUUGAGGCAGUGUCCAUCAGAUUUUUCAAAGCUGCAAGACAAUCGAUUGUGUACCUUAUGAUAAUCGAUUGUGUUGAGACAGUGUCUAUCAGGUUUUUCAAAGCUACAAAAUAAUCGAUUGUGCACCUUAUGACAAUCGAU
RNAcentral lists this long non-coding RNA (277 nucleotides) under Nicotiana benthamiana. RNAcentral describes it as "long non-coding RNA (NBEN_LNC040894)". The record is from RNAcentral. Lineage: Eukaryota; Viridiplantae; Streptophyta; Magnoliopsida; Solanales; Solanaceae.